AUGUCCUCCUCCUCCUCCUCGUCCAUGGGCGCGCUCGCCGCGGCCACCGCCAUGGCGCUCUCCGGUUCCCUCGUCCUCUUCUCCCUCCGCCGCUUCGCCAAGCCCAGCCUCGACGACGACGCCCCUGCUUCGGACGACCCCGCGUCCCUUCGUCCAUGCCUCUCCUCCUCCUCCUCCUCCCCAGAGAAGCGGCAGCGCGGCGGGAAGCUGCGGCGGAAGGGGGAGAAGCGGGUGCGCUUCGCGGAGGGCGUCAUCGACAAUGAGGGCGCGCCCCCCGCGGCCAGGUCCUCCUCCUCGCCCCCGCCGGCGCCGGCAGCGGCCGAGCCGACGUGCAGGGGAAGCGUGACGGGAUCGGACCACCGGAUGCCGGCGAACCGGGAGGCGCUGUACCGCGGCAUGCUCCGCGAUCGCUCCGUGCACAGGACCGCCUACUCCUACUGA
Molecule: ribosomal RNA, 441 nt
Filed under: Triticum aestivum (bread wheat)
Lineage: Eukaryota; Viridiplantae; Streptophyta; Magnoliopsida; Poales; Poaceae
Description: partial small subunit ribosomal RNA
Source: RNAcentral